UUUUUUGUUGGUGGUGGUGGUUGGUUGGUUUUUUUGUUUGUUCAUUUGUUGUUUUCUUAUACUAACAUUUUUGAUCAAUCCCCUUAUUCUUUUUAUUGGAAACAGAAAUAACUGGGUAUCUUAUUCAACACUAUCUGCAAAAAACAGGACACUUUGUAAUCAGGAUUCCUUGGGCAGUAUGUUGCAGUAUGAUGGCCUACAGGGCACACAAGGGAGAAGACAAAUACAUGGUCUCUUAAUUCUGCCUGGGCUUAUACACUGGAUCAAUACACAGCAGAAGGCCCACAUACUUUGGAAGUGGAAGUGAGGGCUGGAAGCCCAUCUGAGAUGGUUUUUGCACACACGAAAAUGCAAUAGUAGUUUUGGAGCAUCAGAACCUACAAUUUUAAGUUGUUUAGUGAAAGCCAGACUUCGUCAUAUUUAAAUCUGAAUUUGGGAAUUUGGUUUUAUUCUGUACAGGUGAAAGUGAUGUAUCUAAAAUUUUUCAUCUGUCUGCAAGAGAAACUAUUGACUAGUCAAACCAUUCAUAUGAACAGUGUCAUGGACAAGUAUAAUUCCCUGUUCUGUGUAAUUUAGAGGUAGAAAUUUAAGUUUGGUCUACCAUAAACUGAAGGACUUACCUUGCAGUGGUUAAUGAAGCUUUUAUUUUUGUGUAUAUGAAAGUCAAUCAUGAAAGUGGAGCAGAUCCAAGUAUCAGUCUUAAUUUGUAGAAAAGACAGAUAAAUGAUUUAAUGUAGAAGCUGAUAGAGUCCGUAGCUAUAUGCUCCUCUCUUAUUGUCCCUAUAGUGCUGUUAUAGCCCUGAUACAUUCUAGCUGGACCAGUUGUCAUCAGCUAUCUCAUGCCAGAACUGAGUAAUAUCGUAAAAAUUUUGGCUUCAGUUAAUCAGCUUCUUUCAACACAAGUUAUUUCACUGGAAAAUGUAGGCAUCAAUUUUAAUUAUGACGUAUCAGAGUUGCUAAGAUACUUGUUUGUUUGACUAAGUGUCAGUAACAAUAAGACAGUAUGUUUGACAGAGUUUCAAAUUCUGCCCUUGAUUAUCUGUGGGA
Molecule: long non-coding RNA, 1047 nt
Filed under: Numida meleagris (helmeted guineafowl)
Lineage: Eukaryota; Metazoa; Chordata; Aves; Galliformes; Numididae
Description: lncRNA (ENSNMEG00000005990.1)
Source: RNAcentral